GACAGCAGCCGCCGCGGUAAUGCGAGGGGUGCAAGCGUUAUUCGGAUUGAUUGGGUGUAAAGGGUGUGCAGACGGCUUAUUAAGUCACUUGUUAAAUUCUUCGGCCUAACUGAAGGCCUGCAAGUGAUACUGAUGAGCUAGAGGGUGGAAGAGAGAAGUGGAAUUCUCGGAGUAGCGGUAAAAUGCGUAGAUUUCGAGAGGAACACCAACGGCGAAGGCAGCUUCCUGGUCCAUUCCUGACGUUCAUACGCGAAAGCGUGGGGAGCAAACAGGAUUAGAUACCCGAGUAGUCCCUGUCUCUUAUAC
RNAcentral lists this ribosomal RNA (306 nucleotides) under uncultured bacterium. RNAcentral's name for it is "partial 16S ribosomal RNA". It matches the Rfam family "Bacterial small subunit ribosomal RNA", at positions 507 to 807 of the family's 1533-position model. The record is from RNAcentral.